RNAcentral lists this unclassified non-coding RNA (230 nucleotides) under rhizosphere metagenome. RNAcentral describes it as "partial ribosomal RNA internal transcribed spacer region". The record is from RNAcentral.
GUAGGUGAACCUGCGGAAGGAUCAUUAAUCCAGGCUCGAACCCCCCGCGGUGCAAGCUGCAGGGGGCUAGGGCCGCCUUUAUACCCACCCUUUGCCUAUGUGUACCGCUAUCGCUUCCUCGGCGGGCUUGCCCGCCGCUAGGAACCAACCAAACCCUUUGCAUUAUACAUGAAAAUUUCCGAUACAAACCAAAAUUAUUACAACUUUUAACAAUGGAUCUCUUGGUUCUG